GAUGAACGCUGACAGAAUGCUUAACACAUGCAAGUCGAUGGGGAAGUGGUGCUUGCACCAUGGUAACCAUGGCGGACGGGUGAGUAACGCGUAAGGAACUUGCCUGCGGGACUGGGAUAACAGCAGGAAACUGCUGAUAAUACCGGAUAAGGUCAUUAAGCUGCAUAGCUUAGCGAUGAAAGGAGACGCCUGCGGGGAGCCUUGCGUCCUAUUAGCUAGUUGGAGGGGUAACGGCCCACCAAGGCGAAGAUAGGUAGCCGGCCUGAGAGGGUGGACGGCCAAAAGGGGACUGAGAUACGGCCCUUACUCCUACGGGAGGCAGCAGUGGGGAAUAGCGGACAAUGGGGGCAACCCUGAUCCAGCAAUUCUGUGUGCACGAAGACGGUUUUCGGAUUGUAAAGUGCUUUCAGCAGGGAAGAAGGAAGUGACGGUACCUGCAGAAGAAGCGACGGCUAAAUACGUG
Molecule: ribosomal RNA, 463 nt
Filed under: uncultured bacterium
Lineage: Bacteria
Description: partial 16S ribosomal RNA
Rfam family: Bacterial small subunit ribosomal RNA
Source: RNAcentral